This 1372-nucleotide ribosomal RNA is filed under the name uncultured bacterium. RNAcentral's name for it is "bacterial SSU rRNA". It matches the Rfam family "Bacterial small subunit ribosomal RNA", at positions 28 to 1381 of the family's 1533-position model. The record is from RNAcentral.
GAUGAACGCUGGCGGCGUGCCUAAUACAUGCAAGUCGAGCGAACGGACGAGAAGCUUGCUUUUCUGAUGUUAGCGGCGGACGGGUGAGUAACACGUGGAUAACCUACCUAUAAGACUGGGAUAACUUCGGGAAACCGGAGCUAAUACCGGAUAAUAUUUUGAACCGCAUGGUUCAAAAGUGAAAGACGGUCUUGCUGUCACUUAUAGAUGGAUCCGCGCUGCAUUAGCUAGUUGGUAAGGUAACGGCUUACCAAGGCAACGAUGCAUAGCCGACCUGAGAGGGUGAUCGGCCACACUGGAACUGAGACACGGUCCAGACUCCUACGGGAGGCAGCAGUAGGGAAUCUUCCGCAAUGGGCGAAAGCCUGACGGAGCAACGCCGCGUGAGUGAUGAAGGUCUUCGGAUCGUAAAACUCUGUUAUUAGGGAAGAACAUAUGUGUAAGUAACUGUGCACAUCUUGACGGUACCUAAUCAGAAAGCCACGGCUAACUACGUGCCAGCAGCCGCGGUAAUACGUAGGUGGCAAGCGUUAUCCGGAAUUAUUGGGCGUAAAGCGCGCGUAGGCGGUUUUUUAAGUCUGAUGUGAAAGCCCACGGCUCAACCGUGGAGGGUCAUUGGAAGCUGGAAAACUUGAGUGCAGAAGAGGAAAGUGGAAUUCCAUGUGUAGCGGUGAAAUGCGCAGAGAUAUGGAGGAACACCAGUGGCGAAGGCGACUUUCUGGUCUGUAACUGACGCUGAUGUGCGAAAGCGUGGGGAUCAAACAGGAUUAGAUACCCUGGUAGUCCACGCCGUAAACGAUGAGUGCUAAGUGUUAGGGGGUUUCCGCCCCUUAGUGCUGCAGCUAACGCAUUAAGCACUCCGCCUGGGGAGUACGACCGCAAGGUUGAAACUCAAAGGAAUUGACGGGGACCCGCACAAGCGGUGGAGCAUGUGGUUUAAUUCGAAGCAACGCGAAGAACCUUACCAAAUCUUGACAUCCUUUGACAACUCUAGAGAUAGAGCUUUCCCCUUCGGGGGACAAAGUGACAGGUGGUGCAUGGUUGUCGUCAGCUCGUGUCGUGAGAUGUUGGGUUAAGUCCCGCAACGAGCGCAACCCUUAAGCUUAGUUGCCAUCAUUAAGUUGGGCACUCUAAGUUGACUGCCGGUGACAAACCGGAGGAAGGUGGGGAUGACGUCAAAUCAUCAUGCCCCUUAUGAUUUGGGCUACACACGUGCUACAAUGGACAAUACAAAGGGCAGCGAAACCGCGAGGUCAAGCAAAUCCCAUAAAGUUGUUCUCAGUUCGGAUUGUAGUCUGCAACUCGACUACAUGAAGCUGGAAUCGCUAGUAAUCGUAGAUCAGCAUGCUACGGUGAAUACGUUCCCGGGUCU